GGGACACGUGGUAUCCUGUCUGAAUAUGGGGGGACCAUCCUCCAAGGCUAAAUACUCCUGACUGACCGAUAGUGAACCAGUACCGUGAGGGAAAGGCGAAAAGAACCCCGGCGAGGGGAGUGAAAAAGAACCUGAAACCGUGUACGUACAAGCAGUGGGAGCCUCUUAAUGGGGUGACUGCGUACCUUUUGUAUAAUGGGUCAGCGACUUAUAUUCUGUAGCAAGGUUAACCGAAUAGGGGAGCCGAAGGGAAACCGAGUCUUAACUGGGCGUUAAGUUGCAGGGUAUAGACCCGAAACCCGGUGAUCUAGCCAUGGGCAGGUUGAAGGUUGGGUAACACUAACUGGAGGACCGAACCGACUAAUGUUGAAAAAUUAGCGGAUGACUUGUGGCUGGGGGUGAAAGGCCAAUCAAACCGGGAGAUAGCUGGUUCUCCCCGAAAGCUAUUUAGGUAGCGCCUCGUGAAUUCAUCUCCGGGGGUAGAGCACUGUUUCGGCAAGGGGGUCAUCCCGACUUACCAACCCGAUGCAAACUGCGAAUACCGGAGAAUGUUAUCACGGGAGACACACGGCGGGUGCUAACGUCCGUCGUGAAGAGGGAAACAACCCAGACCGCCAGCUAAGGUCCCAAAGUCAUGGUUAAGUGGGAAACGAUGUGGGAAGGCCCAGACAGCCAGGAUGUUGGCUUAGAAGCAGCCAUCAUUUAAAGAAAGCGUAAUAGCUCACUGGUCGAGUCGGCCUGCGCGGAAGAUGUAACGGGGCUAAACCAUGCACCGAAGCUGCGGCAGCGACACUAUGUGUUGUUGGGUAGGGGAGCGUUCUGUAAGCCUGUGAAGGUGUGCUGUGAGGCAUGCUGGAGGUAUCAGAAGUGCGAAUGCUGACAUAAGUAACGAUAAAGCGGGUGAAAAGCCCGCUCGCCGGAAGACCAAGGGUUCCUGUCCAACGUUAAUCGGGGCAGGGUGAGUCGACCCCUAAGGCGAGGCCGAAAGGCGUAGUCGAUGGGAAACAGGUUAAUAUUCCUGUACUUGGUGUUACUGCGAAGGGGGGACGGAGAAGGCUAUGUUGGCCGGGCGACGGUUGUCCCGGUUUAAGCGUGUAGGCUGGUUUUCCAGGCAAAUCCGGAAAACCAAGGCUGAGGCGUGAUGACGAGGCACUACGGUGCUGAAGUGACAAAUGCCCUGCUUCCAGGAAAAGCCUCUAAGCAUCAGGUAACAUCAAAUCGUACCCCAAACCGACACAGGUGGUCAGGUAGAGAAUACCAAGGCGCUUGAGAGAACUCGGGUGAAGGAACUAGGCAAAAUGGUGCCGUAACUUCGGGAGAAGGCACGCUGAUAUGUAGGUGAAGCGACUUGCUCGUGGAGCUGAAAUCAGUCGAAGAUACCAGCUGGCUGCAACUGUUUAUUAAAAACACAGCACUGUGCAAACACGAAAGUGGACGUAUACGGUGUGACGCCUGCCCGGUGCCGGAAG
This 1469-nucleotide ribosomal RNA is filed under the name Escherichia coli. RNAcentral's name for it is "partial 23S ribosomal RNA". It matches the Rfam family "Bacterial large subunit ribosomal RNA", at positions 419 to 1875 of the family's 2925-position model. The record is from RNAcentral. Lineage: Bacteria; Pseudomonadati; Pseudomonadota; Gammaproteobacteria; Enterobacterales; Enterobacteriaceae.